RNAcentral lists this ribosomal RNA (250 nucleotides) under uncultured prokaryote. Its description in RNAcentral is "partial 16S ribosomal RNA". It matches the Rfam family "Bacterial small subunit ribosomal RNA", at positions 524 to 773 of the family's 1533-position model. The record is from RNAcentral.
UACGGGGGAUGCGAGCGUUGUCCGGAAUCAUUGGGCGUAAAGAGUUCGUAGGUGGCGGAUCAAGUCUGGUGUUAAAGGCGUGGGCUCAACUCAUGUAUGGCACUGGAUACUGGUUGGCUGGAAUGCGGUAGAGGUAAAGGGAAUUCCUGGUGUAGCGGUGAAAUGCGUAGAUAUCAGGAGGAACAUCGGUGGCGUAAGCGCUUUACUGGGCCGUAAUUGACACUGAGGAACGAAAGCCGGGGUAGCAAAU